RNAcentral lists this ribosomal RNA (464 nucleotides) under Vreelandella stevensii. RNAcentral's name for it is "partial 16S ribosomal RNA". It matches the Rfam family "Bacterial small subunit ribosomal RNA", at positions 338 to 794 of the family's 1533-position model. The record is from RNAcentral. Lineage: Bacteria; Pseudomonadati; Pseudomonadota; Gammaproteobacteria; Oceanospirillales; Halomonadaceae.
CCUACGGGGGGCAGCAGUGGGGAAUAUUGGACAAUGGGCGAAAGCCUGAUCCAGCCAUGCCGCGUGUGUGAAGAAGGCCUUCGGGUUGUAAAGCACUUUCAGUGGGGAAGAAAGCCUUGGGGCUAAUACCCUCGAGGAAGGACAUCACCCACAGAAGAAGCACCGGCUAACUCCGUGCCAGCAGCCGCGGUAAUACGGAGGGUGCGAGCGUUAAUCGGAAUUACUGGGCGUAAAGCGCGCGUAGGCGGUCUGAUAAGCCGGUUGUGAAAGCCCCGGGCUCAACCUGGGAACGGCAUCCGGAACUGUCAGGCUAGAGUGCAGGAGAGGAAGGUAGAAUUCCCGGUGUAGCGGUGAAAUGCGUAGAGAUCGGGAGGAAUACCAGUGGCGAAGGCGGCCUUCUGGACUGACACUGACGCUGAGGUGCGAAAGCGUGGGUAGCAAACAGGAUUAGAUACCCUAGUAGC